RNAcentral lists this ribosomal RNA (253 nucleotides) under uncultured bacterium. Its description in RNAcentral is "partial 16S ribosomal RNA". It matches the Rfam family "Bacterial small subunit ribosomal RNA", at positions 524 to 776 of the family's 1533-position model. The record is from RNAcentral.
UACGGAGGGGGCUAGCGUUGUUCGGAAUUACUGGGCGUAAAGCGCACGUAGGCGGCGUCGUAAGUCAGAGGUGAAAGCCCGGGGCUCAACCCCGGAUGUGCCUUUGAGACUGCGGUGCUAGAAGGUGAGAGAGGUGAGUGGAAUUCCGAGUGUAGAGGUGAAAUUCGUAGAUAUUCGGAAGAACACCAGUGGCGAAGGCGGCUCACUGGCUCAUACUUGACGCUGAGGUGCGAAAGCGUGGGGAGCAAACAGG